AAGCCCCAAAUAUUUAUGAAAGUUAUCCAUGUUUGGUGAAGAGCAAUAUGAUACAAUUUUGAUUCUUUAGAUCCUUGAUUUUAGCUUAUUAUAUGCUUAUGUAUUUUCUCUUUUCUGAUAUUGGUGUCCAGGUAUAGUUGCGUAGUUUCGUGGCAGAGGAGAAUUGUGGAUCCUUCCAAUGAAGGCCUCUUUUCUUUAGUCCGAGGAGAAUUGCGGAUCCUUUUCUAAGGUUUACCGUCUCAAUAUUUUAUCACUUUGAAUUUUUUGUCUGUGGCGUUUCUCACUUUUUCAAAGUCUUAUAUUUUUCUUUUGAUGGUGUGUUGUCGUGACUCUAUACUCUAAGGCUAUGUUGUUGUUUUUAUUUGUUUGUUUGUUUAGAAGUUUUAGAUUUUUAAUUUAAGGUUUGAAUGAAAAUUGGAGGAUUUAAGAGUGGAAUUAUACUCUCUCAUUCCACAGAUUGAUUAAGCAAUCAAAAACUCACCAAAUGCACAUAGGAUUGAAAAAUUAUUUUUUGAUACUCAAAUGACUGUUCCAAAAUGUUAUAGAGGGAACUUUGCAUCUAAUAUGUAGAGUACCAACUCGAAUAUGAAAGUCAAAGGGAUCAAAUAUGAAUGAUACUCUGAAUAGCUCUGAAUCAUAUAGUUGUAAUGAGGUAUAUGAUCAAGCUAUAUUUAUCGAAUUUGGAGAUGGAUGUUUGUUGUCCCCCCAUUCUUUAGUCCCAAUUCCCCUAAACAAAGGGCUGACAUAGAACCAAAUUUUUGUGUUGUUGGUUCUCUCCAAAGUAUUACAUUCUUGUAGAUAGCCUUCGGUUAAAUGAAAGAGGCCGGGUUGGCAUUCCAUAACUAUGAAGGGAUUUUUGUUUCUCAAGUAUUGCAAGUUCAUAAUCUGAUUGUACUUUAUCUUGAACUCAUAUAAGAUGUUAUGUCUACAAACUAAUUACUAUUACUCCAUUGCUAACUAUGCCGAUGUUAAUAAAUCCAUUUUGUUCCAAAGAGGGCUAUUCCUCCUUCCAGAUCUCAAUUGUCAGGAAACCAUUCAUUGCAUAAUUGUAUCUGAAUAGUUAUUUAUGCUAUUGUUCCCUUUCCCCCAAUAAAUAGUUGUCAACUUGGCAUGAAGUCUCGUAUCAUUUAAAAAAAAAAAGUAAAGCACCAAGAACCUGAAUCCAUAAACUAAUGAAGGUAAUUUUGAAAUGUAUGGUUUUGAUUGUGUCAUAUCCACGAUCUAACUUAUGUUGCUUGGAUCCUCCAAAAUGUUGUUGCACCUGUGUUAUAUUGUCAAAGUAUUAUUAACUUUAUCAAUUCUUGAGUCUUGACAGUUGUACACGGUGAAUUAUAUAUUGUAACACGUGUCCCUUUUCCUUCAAAGGAAAGGAAGUUACGCUUUUUCUUCCAAUGGCAAGGAAGUGUUUCAUUCCUUUUCAUCUAGGCUGUUGUGAAAAGUGCCAAAAUCUCCAACGGUGAACUCUGAAUGUGAUAUUUGUUUUUCUUAAAGUUGUUUCUCUAAGAUCUGUGUUUCAAUGCAAGUGCUGACGGUUGGGAAUAGUCUAUUUAUGAAAUUUUGUAUGGAAUGAAGCUUAUGGUUUGUAUAUCUGCCAUAGGGUAAAAUUGUUGCCAAGAUGAGCGAAGAGGUAAUUCAUUUGAACCAUACAACAUAAGUGAGGAUCUUCUAAAACUAGAAGGGCAACAAAAGAACAAAUUUGAUGAUGAAGAGCUAGAGCAUCUUGUUGAGUAAAGAAGGUAACACUAUUUACCUUUUUUCUUAUAGGCCAUCAAGGUUGAGUGAAGAGCUGAAAUAUGAUUCCAAGAAAAGAUUACUUGAUUGGGGUAGUAGAAUUUUUAAUUACAGACAAGAAAAGGGGAUUAUGCUACUAUGUUUGAAUGAAGGUAAUGUUCUUCAUGGUGACUAUUUAGUAUGCGGUAGAUACAGAUUUGCAUAUAUGAUUUUUUUCGCUUAUUAAUUUCUAUUCAAAAUAGAAGGAUUUAGCUUUGACACAAUGUAUUCGAUUUUAAUUCUCGGGAGAGAUGUUGAUAUGGAUUACUUAACGGCUAUUUGCAGGUAUUAAAAUAGCGUGGAUAUGAAUUUCAAGUUCAUUUUGGCAGCACUUAAACCAAUGAAAAAAGUACUUAAAUCAAGGUGCUUUUGGUGUG
RNAcentral lists this long non-coding RNA (2147 nucleotides) under Solanum tuberosum (potato). Its description in RNAcentral is "long non-coding RNA (STUB_LNC002449)". The record is from RNAcentral. Lineage: Eukaryota; Viridiplantae; Streptophyta; Magnoliopsida; Solanales; Solanaceae.